RNAcentral lists this small nucleolar RNA (103 nucleotides) under Dasypus novemcinctus (nine-banded armadillo). RNAcentral's name for it is "Small nucleolar RNA SNORA61 (ENSDNOG00000030297.1)". The record is from RNAcentral. Lineage: Eukaryota; Metazoa; Chordata; Mammalia; Cingulata; Dasypodidae.
ACCAUCCGGUUUUACAAUUGAAAAUUCUUAUUGUUAAGGGAGGAAAAGUAACUCUGAAGCUGACCACAGUGCUUUGUAGCGUGUUGGUUAGUUUCAAACAGGU